This 497-nucleotide ribosomal RNA is filed under the name uncultured bacterium. RNAcentral describes it as "partial 16S ribosomal RNA". It matches the Rfam family "Bacterial small subunit ribosomal RNA", at positions 28 to 507 of the family's 1533-position model. The record is from RNAcentral.
GAUGAACGCUGGCGGCGUGCCUAAUACAUGCAAGUCGAGCGAACAGACGAGGAGCUUGCUCCUCUGACGUUAGCGGCGGACGGGUGAGUAACACGUGGAUAACCUACCUAUAAGACUGGGAUAACUUCGGGAAACCGGAGCUAAUACCGGAUAAUAUAUUGAACCGCAUGGUUCAAUAGUGAAAGACGGUUUUGCUGUCACUUAUAGAUGGAUCCGCGCCGCAUUAGCUAGUUGGUAAGGUAACGGCUUACCAAGGCAACGAUGCGUAGCCGACCUGAGAGGGUGAUCGGCCACACUGGAACUGAGACACGGUCCAGACUCCUACGGGAGGCAGCAGUAGCGCAUCUUCCGCAAUGGGCGAAAGCCUGACGGAGCAACGCCGAGUGAGUGAUGAAGGUCUUCGGAUCGUAAAACUCUGUUAUUAGGGAAGAACAAAUGUGUAAGUAACUAUGCACGUCUUGACGGUACCUAAUCAGAAAGCAACGGCUAACUCCGUG